AAAUUGAAGAGUUUGAUCAUGGCUCAGAUUGAACGCUGGCGGCAGGCCUAACACAUGCAAGUCGAACGGUAACAGAAAGCAGCUUGCUGCUUUGCUGACGAGUGGCGGACGGGUGAGUAAUGUCUGGGAAACUGCCUGAUGGAGGGGGAUAACUACUGGAAACGGUAGCUAAUACCGCAUAAUGUCGCAAGACCAAAGAGGGGGACCUUCGGGCCUCUUGCCAUCGGAUGUGCCCAGAUGGGAUUAGCUAGUAGGUGAGGUAACGGCUCACCUAGGCGACGAUCCCUAGCUGGUCUGAGAGGAUGACCAGCCACACUGGAACUGAGACACGGUCCAGACUCCUACGGGAGGCAGCAGUGGGGAAUAUUGCACAAUGGGCGCAAGCCUGAUGCAGCCAUGCCGCGUGUAUGAAGAAGGCCUUCGGGUUGUAAAGUACUUUCAGCGGGGAGGAAGGGAGUAAAGUUAAUACCUUUGCUCAUUGACGUUACCCGCAGAAGAAGCACCGGCUAACUCCGUGCCAGCAGCCGCGGUAAUACGGAGGGUGCAAGCGUUAAUCGGAAUUACUGGGCGUAAAGCGCACGCAGGCGGUUUGUUAAGUCAGAUGUGAAAUCCCCGGGCUCAACCUGGGAACUGCAUCUGAUACUGGCAAGCUUGAGUCUCGUAGAGGGGGGUAGAAUUCCAGGUGUAGCGGUGAAAUGCGUAGAGAUCUGGAGGAAUACCGGUGGCGAAGGCGGCCCCCUGGACGAAGACUGACGCUCAGGUGCGAAAGCGUGGGGAGCAAACAGGAUUAGAUACCCUGGUAGUCCACGCCGUAAACGAUGUCGACUUGGAGGUUGUGCCCUUGAGGCGUGGCUUCCGGAGCUAACGCGUUAAGUCGACCGCCUGGGGAGUACGGCCGCAAGGUUAAAACUCAAAUGAAUUGACGGGGGCCCGCACAAGCGGUGGAGCAUGUGGUUUAAUUCGAUGCAACGCGAAGAACCUUACCUGGUCUUGACAUCCACAGAACUUUCCAGAGAUGGAUUGGUGCCUUCGGGAACUGUGAGACAGGUGCUGCAUGGCUGUCGUCAGCUCGUGUUGUGAAAUGUUGGGUUAAGUCCCGCAACGAGCGCAACCCUUAUCCUUUGUUGCCAGCGGUCCGGCCGGGAACUCAAAGGAGACUGCCAGUGAUAAACUGGAGGAAGGUGGGGAUGACGUCAAGUCAUCAUGGCCCUUACGACCAGGGCUACACACGUGCUACAAUGGCGCAUACAAAGAGAAGCGACCUCGCGAGAGCAAGCGGACCUCAUAAAGUGCGUCGUAGUCCGGAUUGGAGUCUGCAACUCGACUCCAUGAAGUCGGAAUCGCUAGUAAUCGUGGAUCAGAAUGCCACGGUGAAUACGUUCCCGGGCCUUGUACACACCGCCCGUCACACCAUGGGAGUGGGUUGCAAAAGAAGUAGGUAGCUUAACCUUCGGGAGGGCGCUUACCACUUUGUGAUUCAUGACUGGGGUGAAGUCGUAACAAGGUAACCGUAGGGGAACCUGCGGUUGGAUCACCUCCUUA
This 1542-nucleotide ribosomal RNA is filed under the name Escherichia coli. RNAcentral's name for it is "bacterial SSU rRNA". It matches the Rfam family "Bacterial small subunit ribosomal RNA". The record is from RNAcentral. Lineage: Bacteria; Pseudomonadati; Pseudomonadota; Gammaproteobacteria; Enterobacterales; Enterobacteriaceae.